AGUAAAAUAUCAAUGUUAAUACUUUGACAAUGAUGAAUAUUUACAAAAGAAAUGUUUCCUUAGUUCUUUGAUUAGGACAUAAUCAAAUGGCUUGCAAUUCUGUCUCCAAAUUCAAUACCAAACUAUGUCCAUUUGGAAACUAUAUUUCAUGAACAAUUAUUUAGAAGGAAAACUAAUGUCAACAUCAUAGAUCUGGCCAUUAGAAGGAGGAACAACUAGUCCAUUGAUGACUAUAUUAACAGAAAUUGCCAAAUGAAUUCCAGAUGUUUAACCAUGACCCCAAAUACGGAAUGGUUUCAAUGACCGCAACGAGAUUGAACCAUGAUGUUCUGAAGAAAUGAUUAGCCAAAAAUUAAGAGAUAUGCUUAUGUCAAUUGUUAGUGCCAAGAAAAUUGAGAAAGAAAUGUAAUAAAAUAAAGAUUUAUUUCCUCGAUAAAGAUAAGGGUCCAUACUUGGCUCUAAUAGAUCAAGAGGAAAUGACAUAUGAUGAUUUGAAUGACGUUAGUUAUGAGAGUGCAUAUACGAAUGAGUUAAAACCUUACCUGCCUUAUAAUUGUUUGAAUUUAAAUCCUCCAACUUAAAAUAUAUGUCAAAUACUAAUAGGAAAACAUAUGGUUUCAAUAUAAAUAAAGAUGGACAAAUAUUCAUAGAUCUUUCAAAAGAAUAAUGGAUAUUACUUAGUGAAGUCCAUGAAAUUACUCCUCAAGAAUAAAUUCUAGGAAGGAGAUAUUGUAGAGUUCCUAACACUUAUGGCAUUAUACUAAUUCUUGCAUACGUUUUAGGGAUACCAUACAAAAAGAAAUGCUUCAAACUAAUUCUCCAAGGUAGAUAAUGCAAGCCAAUUAUUUAGAGGAACCGGCUUAAAUCCUCCGUUAUACGAAUACUGAAGUUGGAAAGAAAAAUGUAUCGACCAAAACUCAAAUCAAAAGGCUUAAAGGGCUCAAAAUGAAACAUACAACUUUCAUAACAUUCAACAGUAACAAUCCUUAUUUUUCAUUCUCUCUCUUUCUCUCCUCAUUAAAAAUGUCUCGCGCACUAACAAAUUGGUAUCUAAAGUUCCGAUUAGUUUCUUGAACAUGUUUUCAAGAAUCACACGUCGGUGACCGUGUUUCCGAGAUCGUGGAUUGUUAAUCUUGUUUGCUACAAAGAUGAAUGGACAAUGUCAUUCUGAAUUCUGUUUCAAUUCUUGACGGUAAGAAUUGGUUCCGAUGGAGAAAACAAAUGCAAUCUCUACUUGCGUUUCAUGAAACUCUAGAAGUGGUUACUAAUGACGUCCUUGAGCUUGUUGAGAAUGCAACUGAUGCUCAAAGAGUCGCAAACAAGAAGGCCAAGAAAAAAGACUGCAAGACUGCGUUUCAUAUUCAAUAGGCGGUAGACGCGAUGAACUUUGAUCGGAUUCUCAUGCUGAAUCGGCGAAAGAGACAUGGGAUAUUCUUGUCAAGUAUUACAAAGAAGGUGAGAAGUUUAAAUUUGUCAAAUUGUGCAUGUUGUAAAGGCAGUAUGAAUUACUGCAGAUGGAAGAAGAAGAAAAGAUUGCAGGCUAUAUCUCGAAGGUGAAAAAGCUUGGCCAUCUCAUGAAAGGUUGUGGUGAAAUCCCAACUGAUAAGAUGAUAGUUGAGAAGGUAAUGCGUACAUUGACCUCUCGCUUUGAUCACGUUAUCAUUGUUAUUCAAGAAUCCAUAAAUCUUGAAACAUUGAAAUGAAAGACUUGGUUGGUUCGUUGGAGACACAUGAGAUGAGGAUUGUCGAAAGAAAAGGUGUUCAAGAUUCGAUACAAGCUCUACAGGCUUAGAUAUGGAAGAAACAUGGUGGUUCCUACAAGUUCAAGUGAAAAGAAGACAAGACUCAGAACAAGAAGUCUUGGUCGAACCGUCAAAAGAAUAAGGUCAAAGAUAGGGCUUCUAAAUCCUCAAAAAGAGGAGAAUGGAACUCCUAUCAGAAAGACAAAGAAGAGAAAAAAGGUGUACAUUGAUAUAACUGUGAAAAAUGGGGUCACUAGGCCAAGAAUUAUUGGUACAAGAAAGGCAAUAAUGAAUAAGUAAACCUUACACACUAAGAUUCAGAUGAUUCUGAAGACAUGGUAGUUAUAGUUGCAGUUGCAGAUGAGCAUGUCGGCACCAAGAUCUGGUUUCUUGACACAGGUUGUUCGAAUCACAUGACUCAUAAAAAAUUAUCAUUAGCAGAUUUCGACGAGUUGAAGAAGAGAAAUGUCAAACUUGUUGAUAAUAACUCGUUACAAGCAGAAGGAAUUGAUUACAUAGUUAUUCAAAGGAGCAAUGGAGAAAAAGCUAUGAUCAAAGAUGUACUCUAUGUACCUGAAAUAAAGUGUAAUCUGCUAACUAUAGGACAACUAGUCGAAAAGGUUUCUCUUGCAUACUAGAAGUAGUACAUUCAAAUGUAUGUGGACCAUUUAAGGAUCAUACCAUUGGUGAAAACAUGUAUUUUGUCACAUUUGUCAAUGAGUACAAUCGAAAUCGUUGGAUCUAUGUGAUCAGGUGAAAACAUUAAGUAUUUUCAAUCUUUAAGAGAUUCAGAAGGCAUGUUGAAAACUAGAGUGAAAGGAACAUCAAGGUUCUGUGAACAUAUGAAGGUGGAAAAUACAAUCCAAUAUGUUUAAAGAGUUAUGUGCAGAACAUGGUAUCAAUCAUGAGGUAAUUGCUCUUUACACGCCUCAACAUAAUGGAAUAGCAGAAAAAAGAAACAAUACCAUAUUGGAUAUAGCGAGAUGAAUGUUAAAGUAGAAUUUUUUUUCCCAAAUCCUCAUUGGGUGAAGCUGUCACCCAUGUUGUUUAUAUUUUGAACAGGUGUCAUACCAAGAAGCCGAAGAACACAGUUUCUGAAGAAGUGUGGAGUGGAAAACGACCAUCAGUGAUUCAUCUGAAGGUGUUUGGCUCUAUUUGCUAUAAGCAUGUUCCCGACGCAAGAAGAAGGAAGCUUGAUGAUAAAAUUGAACCUAUAAUUCUGGUAGAAUAUCACAAAACUAGAGCAUAUAGAUUAUUCAAUCCAAUCAAUGAGAAAAUCGUAAUGAGUUGAGAUAUCGUGAUUGAUGAAAAGUCUUCAUGGGAUUGGAAUUAUGGUGAUGUAAUUAACAAGCCAUUGAUGAGUUAUGGCGUUGAUGAAGAAACUGAUGAAGUUGAAGUCAAAGCAGUUGUUGAUACUCCAACAACAAUCAAAUUCGAAGAUGAUAAUAGAUUCGAAGUCGAAAUAGAUAAUCAAGAGGUUGUGGCUAGCUCAAGCCAAAGACCUCAAAGAACUAGAGUCCUCCCAGCAAGGCUUCAAGACUGUGAAGUGGUUGGUGAUGAUGAAGUCACACCAAACAGAGAUUUGGUUCAUUUCUCUUUACUUGCAGGUGUUGAACCAAUCAACUAUAGCGAGCCUUUAAAGAGUAAACAAUGGAAGUCAUGUAUGGUCAAAUAGUUACAAGCGAUCGAAAGAAACAACACAUAGGAGUUAGUCUAAUGUCCAACAUAUACACAAGCUAUCAAAUUGAAAUGGGUGUUCAAGUUGAAGCAUAAUGCUGAUGAGUCGAUAGCAAGACAUAAAGAAAGAUUAAUAGCUUGAGGAUUUAUUCAGAGAGAAGGACUCGGCUACUCUAAAGUAUUUGUACAAGUAGCAAGAUUGGAGACUGUUCGAUUGGUGAUAACCUUGGCAUGUAAGCAAGGUUGGUCGACAUUUCACUUAGAUAUGAAAUUAACAUUUUUGAAUGGUCCACUAGAUAAAGAGGUAUAUGUCACAAAACCUUCUUCUUUUAUGAUACAGGAGGAAGCAAGGAAAGUAUGCAGGCUACACAAAGUGCUUUAUGGCCUCAAGCAUACACCUGGGGCAUGAAACAAGAAGAUCGACUCAUACUUGGUCGAAUUGGGAUUCAUCAAAUGCAAAUCUGAGUAUGAUGUCUAUGUUCAGGUUGUGGCACAAGAUAUAACAAUCAUCUGCUUAUAUGUUGAUGACUUAUUAGUAACUAGAAAUAGCUUGGAGAACUUGUCGAAGUUCAAAGAGCUGAUGAAUAAGUAAUUUGAAAUGUCUAAUCUUGGAAAGUUAUCGUUUUCAAAUUUCGAAGCAGGGUAUGGUGCUACAUCAAAGAAACUAUGUCAAAGAGAUUCAGGAUGGAAGACUUGAAUCCUGCAUCCUCACCUGUCGAACCAAAUCUGAAGCUGGAGAAGCAUGGAGAGGAAGACAAAGCCGGUGUCACUUUGUUUAAAAACUUGUCGGAUCUCUGAGAUAUGUUGUAACAAUCGAAUUGAUUUAGGUUUCUCAGUCGGAUUAUUGAGCAGAUACAUGAGUGAACCAAGGGUGUCACACAUGAAGGCUACAAGAAGAAUCCUGAGAUACUUAAAAGGAUCGACAAAUUAUGGAAUUAUAUUUUCACGAGAUUCUAAAAGCAAAGAAGUUGAGAUUAUUUGUUAUUCAGAUGCUGAUUGGUAUUGAGACAAGGAAGAUCGAAGAAACAUAACUAUUUAUUUCUUUCAAGUAUUUGGUGCCCUGAUCUCAUGGUGCUCGAGAAAGUAACAUGUGGUGGAAUUAUCAUCAGAAUAUAUAGAGGAUCUUAUGUUGCUUGCCAAGUAAUUUGGAUCUGAUAUGUGCUAGAAGAGAUGAAGGUCAACGUGAAGAAGUCUCUGGUGUUGUAGAUCAACAACAAGUCAACCCCAACCUUGCAAAGAAUCUAGUUCUUCAUGGUAGAAGUAAGCACAUUGAGGCUAUGUUUCAUUUUCUAAGGGAAAAGGUAAACAAAGUUUAACUUGAAGUGAGGCAUUCCUCGAGUGAAGCACAGUUGACCGAUAUUUUCACCAAAGGACUGAAGAUUGAUAGAUUUUCUACCUUUGAGAAAGAAAUUAGAAAUAGUUCAGAUCGACUAUGAUUAGUUUGUGAUCGACAACUUGGAUUAUAAGGGAAUAUGUUGUGAUAUAAUCCAAGUUGUAGCUCAAACCCAAAAUAAUUAGAACUAGGGUUUGUCAUGAUAUUUACUUAAUAUACAAGUAACAUAAUUAUAUAUAUAUAUAAUAUUCAGUUUAACAUACAAUUUUCAUAAUAUUCAAUCAUAACCAUCAUUAUUUUUCAUUCUCUCUCUUUUUCUCCUCACUAAAAAUUCAUCAUGCCCUAACAUGAAUAUUUAAGAUAUAACCAAUUUUAAUUUUUUAUUGCUCAAAACAUUCCAAAUUUUACAUUUAUAUGCCCUAUUUCACUUAUUGAUGGCGUUGUUGUUAAAUCCAUGUAAAAGAAAGAUCACCUAACACACUUAAGAACUUCUUUCGAAAAAAACUAGGAAAUAUAAUUUUAAAAUGAUCUGAUUAAGUGUGCUUUAGGUGUAUCUCUAUGAAAAUUAUCGGGAUUUCUAACCCAAGAAAAAUGAGUAUAGACGGAUAAAAAAAAUUUAAAAUUCAUCUUAGAAACCCCUCCUCCCAAGAACAAUAGGCAAUUACAAUCAUUUCUAGGAAAAUUUGAUUACCUUCAAAGAUUAAUUUUAAACACUUCUAGAGCUGCAAAAGUAGUCACUCAUUUAUUGAAGUUAAAGAAAGAG
RNAcentral lists this long non-coding RNA (5515 nucleotides) under Lathyrus oleraceus (garden pea). RNAcentral describes it as "Pisum sativum (pea) long non-coding RNA (PSAT_LNC019786)". The record is from RNAcentral. Lineage: Eukaryota; Viridiplantae; Streptophyta; Magnoliopsida; Fabales; Fabaceae.